GGCGCUGUAGUGUAGUGGUUAUCACUCAAGAUUCUGAUUCUGGAGGAUUGUCUAGGUCACAUGACUUCUUGUAACCCCGGUUCGAAUCCGGGCAGUGCCU
This 100-nucleotide transfer RNA is filed under the name Agrocybe pediades. It matches the Rfam family "tRNA". From Rfam's summary of the family: Transfer RNA (tRNA) molecules are approximately 80 nucleotides in length. The record is from Rfam by way of RNAcentral. Lineage: Eukaryota; Fungi; Basidiomycota; Agaricomycetes; Agaricales; Agrocybaceae.